This 427-nucleotide ribosomal RNA is filed under the name uncultured bacterium. RNAcentral describes it as "bacterial SSU rRNA". It matches the Rfam family "Bacterial small subunit ribosomal RNA", at positions 355 to 774 of the family's 1533-position model. The record is from RNAcentral.
UGGGGAAUUUUGGACAAUGGACGCAAGUCUUAUCCAUCCAUUCCUCUUUCUGUCAUAAUUCCUUCUUUUUUUAAACCUCUUUUUUCAUUUCAUCAACUAUUUUCUCUAAUACAUAUACUUAAUUACUUUCCCUUAAUAAUAAUCACCUGCUAACUACUUUCCAGCAGCCGCGGUAAUACGUAGGGUGCAAGCGUUAAUCGGAAUUACUGGGCGUAAAGCGUGCGCAGGCGGUUAUGCAAGACAGAGGUGAAAUCCCCGGGCUCAACCUGGGAACUGCCUUUGUGACUGCAUAGCUAGAGUACGGUAGAGGGGGAUGGAAUUCCGCGUGUAGCAGUGAAAUGCGUAGAUAUGCGGAGGAACACCGAUGGCGAAGGCAAUCCCCUGGACCUGUACUGACGCUCAUGCACGAAAGCGUGGGGAGCAAACA